AUUCACUAGUGAUUCCUACGGGAGGCAGCAGUGGGGAAUAUUGCACAAUGGGCGCAAGCCUGAUGCAGCGACGCCGCGUGAGGGAUGACGGCCUUCGGGUUGUAAACCUCUUUCAGUAGGGAAGAAGCCUUUUGGGGUGACGGUACCUGCAGAAGAAGCGCCGGCUAACUACGUGCCAGCAGCCGCGGUAAUACGUAGGGCGCAAGCGUUAUCCGGAAUUAUUGGGCGUAAAGAGCUCGUAGGCGGUUUGUCGCGUCUGCCGUGAAAGUCCGGGGCUCAACUCCGGAUCUGCGGUGGGUACGGGCAGACUAGAGUGAUGUAGGGGAGACUGGAAUUCCUGGUGUAGCGGUGAAAUGCGCAGAUAUCAGGAGGAACACCGAUGGCGAAGGCAGGUCUCUGGGCAUUAACUGACGCUGAGGAGCGAAAGCAUGGGGAGCGAACAGGAUUAGAUACCCUGGUAGUCCAUGCCGUAAACGUUGGGCACUAGGUGUGGGGGACAUUCCACGUUUUCCGCGCCGUAGCUAACGCAUUAAGUGCCCCGCCUGGGGAGUACGGCCGCAAGGCUAAAACUCAAAUGAAUUGACGGAAUCGAAUUCCCG
RNAcentral lists this ribosomal RNA (599 nucleotides) under uncultured bacterium. Its description in RNAcentral is "bacterial SSU rRNA". It matches the Rfam family "Bacterial small subunit ribosomal RNA", at positions 324 to 931 of the family's 1533-position model. The record is from RNAcentral.